RNAcentral lists this ribosomal RNA (740 nucleotides) under uncultured Curvibacter sp. RNAcentral's name for it is "bacterial SSU rRNA". It matches the Rfam family "Bacterial small subunit ribosomal RNA", at positions 46 to 785 of the family's 1533-position model. The record is from RNAcentral. Lineage: Bacteria; Pseudomonadati; Pseudomonadota; Betaproteobacteria; Burkholderiales; Comamonadaceae.
GCUUUACACAUGCAAGUCGAACGGUAGGGGGGGCAACCCCUCGAGAGUGGCGAACGGGUGAGUAAUAUAUCGGAACGUGCCCAGUCGUGGGGGAUAACGUAGCGAAAGUUACGCUAAUACCGCAUACGAUCUACGGAUGAAAGCGGGGGACCGUAAGGCCUCGCGCGAUUGGAGCGGCCGAUAUCAGAUUAGGUAGUUGGUGGGGUAAAGGCUCACCAAGCCAACGAUCUGUAGCUGGUCUGAGAGGACGACCAGCCACACUGGAACUGAGACACGGUCCAGACUCCUACGGGAGGCAGCAGUGGGGAAUUUUGGACAAUGGACGCAAGUCUGAUCCAGCCAUUCCGCGUGCAGGAUGAAGGCCCUCGGGUUGUAAACUGCUUUUGUACGGAACGAAAAGGUCUCUCUUAAUACGAGGGGCUCAUGACGGUACCGUAAGAAUAAGCACCGGCUAACUACGUGCCAGCAGCCGCGGUAAUACGUAGGGUGCAAGCGUUAAUCGGAAUUACUGGGCGUAAAGCGUGCGCAGGCGGUUAUGUAAGACAGAGGUGAAAUCUCCGGGCUCAACUUGGGAACUGCCUUUGUGACUGCAUAGCUAGAGUACGGUAGAGGGGGAUGGAAUUCCGCGUGUAGCAGUGAAAUGCGUAGAUAUGCGGAGGAACACCGAUGGCGAAGGCAAUUCCCUGGACCUGUACUGACGCUCAUGCACGAAAGCGUGGGGAGCAAACAGGAUUAGAUAC